This 253-nucleotide ribosomal RNA is filed under the name uncultured bacterium. RNAcentral's name for it is "partial 16S ribosomal RNA". It matches the Rfam family "Bacterial small subunit ribosomal RNA", at positions 524 to 776 of the family's 1533-position model. The record is from RNAcentral.
UACAGGGGGGGCAAGCGUUGUUCGGAAUUACUGGGCGUAAAGGGUUCGUAGGUGGCCACUUAAGUCAGACGUGAAAUCCCUCGGCUUAACCGGGGAACUGCGUCUGAUACUGGAUGGCUUGAGUUCGGGAGAGGGAUGCGGAAUUCCAGGUGUAGCGGUGAAAUGCGUAGAUAUCUGGAGGAACACCGGUGGCGAAGGCGGCAUCCUGGACCGACACUGACACUGAGGAGCGAAAGCCAGGGGAGCAAACGGG